AGUCUGAGUAGCUGGGGGAUUUGAGCUGAUAAGUCAGCCUGGAUAUAGAGAAAAUGAUCCAGUCCUUGAAAAAUCAACACCAUUUUGGAAAUGCUGGGAUUCGAAACUUAUGCUGAACUGGGAAAGAACUUUUGAAAGAGCUAGACAGAGAAGAUCACUUAAGCUCCAAAAAUGUUGAGAGGAGAGAGAAGUUCACGUGUUGUCCCGCUGAGAGAUAGAUGAGAGAGAGAGAAAGAAAAGGGAAGAUAUCCAAGUGGUUUCUAGCAUAGCAAAGGCAAUCAUCCAAACAGUGCAAACCAGAUGGCAUUAUGAAUGGACAACACAUUAGUAAUAGCUGUGCACAGAAGAGGAGUAAUUUUGAACAGAAUGAACAACAUUGCUGGGGGGAAAAUUGCAGCCACAGUCCAUGGAACACAAUAGGAAAGUACCAAGGCACACCUGGCAAGUCAAAAUAAAGAAUAAUUACAUCUUAAA
Molecule: non-coding RNA, 474 nt
Organism: Pantherophis guttatus
Lineage: Eukaryota; Metazoa; Chordata; Lepidosauria; Squamata; Colubridae
Source: RefSeq, a predicted model, not a curated record